This 497-nucleotide ribosomal RNA is filed under the name uncultured bacterium. RNAcentral's name for it is "partial 16S ribosomal RNA". It matches the Rfam family "Bacterial small subunit ribosomal RNA", at positions 28 to 507 of the family's 1533-position model. The record is from RNAcentral.
GAUGAACGCUGGCGGCGUGCCUAAUACAUGCAAGUCGAGCGAACGGACGAGAAUCUUGCUUCUCUGAUGUUAGCGGCGGACGGGUGAGUAACCCGUGGAUAACCUACCUAUAAGACUGGGAUAACUUCGGGAAACCGGAGCUAAUACCGGAUAAUAUUUUGAACCGCAUGGUUCAAAAGUGAAAGACGGUCUUGCUGUCACUUAUAGAUGGAUCCGCGCUGCAUUAGCUAGUUGGUAAGGUAACGGCUUACCAAGGCAACGAUGCAUAGCCGACCUGAGAGGGGGAUCGGCCACACUGGAACUGAGACACGGUCCAGACUCCUACGGGAGGCAGCAGUAGGGAAUCUUCCGCAAUGGGCGAAAGCCUGACGGAGCAACGCCGCGUGAGUGAUGAAGGUCUUCGGAUCGUAAAACGCUGUUAUUAGGGAAGAACAUAUGUGUAAGUAACUGUGCACAUCUUGACGGUACCUAAUCAGAAAGCAACGGCUAACUACGUG